This 899-nucleotide ribosomal RNA is filed under the name uncultured bacterium. RNAcentral describes it as "bacterial SSU rRNA". It matches the Rfam family "Bacterial small subunit ribosomal RNA", at positions 33 to 915 of the family's 1533-position model. The record is from RNAcentral.
ACGCUGGCGGCGUGCCUAAUACAUGCAAGUAGAACGCUGAAGGAGGAGCUUGCUUCUCUGGAUGAGUUGCGAACGGGUGAGUAACGCGUAGGUAACCUGCCUGGUAGCGGGGGAUAACUAUUGGAAACGAUAGCUAAUACCGCAUAACAGUAGAUGUUGCAUGACAUUUGCUUAAAAGGUGCAAUUGCAUCACUACCAGAUGGACCUGCGUUGUAUUAGCUAGUUGGUGGGGUAACGGCUCACCAAGGCGACGAUACAUAGCCGACCUGAGAGGGUGAUCGGCCACACUGGGACUGAGACACGGCCCAGACUCCUACGGGAGGCAGCAGUAGGGAAUCUUCGGCAAUGGACGGAAGUCUGACCGAGCAACGCCGCGUGAGUGAAGAAGGUUUUCGGAUCGUAAAGCUCUGUUGUAAGAGAAGGACAGGUGUGAGAGUGGAAAGUUCACACUGUGACGGUAUCUUACCAGAAAGGGACGGCUAACUACGUGCCAGCAGCCGCGGUAAUACGUAGGUCCCGAGCGUUGUCCGGAUUUAUUGGGCGUAAAGCGAGCGCAGGCGGUUAGAUAAGUCUGAAGUUAAAGGCUGUGGCUUAACCAUAGUACGCUUUGGAAACUGUUUAACUUGAGUGCAAGAGGGGAGAGUGGAAUUCCAUGUGUAGCGGUGAAAUGCGUAGAUAUAUGGAGGAACACCGGUGGCGAAAGCGGCUCUCUGGCUUGUAACUGACGCUGAGGCUCGAAAGCGUGGGGAGCAAACAGGAUUAGAUACCCCUGGUAGUCCACGCCGUAAACGAUGAGUGCUAGGUGUUAGACCCUUUCCGGGGUUUAGUGCCGCAGCUAACGCAUUAAGCACUCCGCCUGGGGAGUACGACCGCAAGGUUGAAACUCAAAGGAAUUGACG